GGCGCGGUGUCCGAGUGGUUAAGGAGUUAGACUGAAAAUCUAAUGGGCUCUGCCUUCAUGGGUUCGAAUCCCAUUCGCGCUG
Molecule: non-coding RNA, 82 nt
Organism: Homarus americanus (American lobster)
Lineage: Eukaryota; Metazoa; Arthropoda; Malacostraca; Decapoda; Nephropidae
Source: the annotation of a RefSeq genome assembly